UACGUAGGUGGCAAGCGUUGUCCGGAUUUAUUGGGUUUAAAGGGUGCGUAGGUGGGCAGGUAAGUCAGUGGUGAAAUCUCCGGGCUUAACCCGGAAACUGCCAUUGAUACUAUCUGUCUUGAAUACCGUGGAGGUGAGCGGAAUAUGUCAUGUAGCGGUGAAAUGCUUAGAUAUGACAUAGAACACCAAUUGCGAAGGCAGCUCACUACACGAAUAUUGACACUGAGGCACGAAAGCGUGGGGAUCAAACAGG
Molecule: ribosomal RNA, 253 nt
Filed under: uncultured bacterium
Lineage: Bacteria
Description: partial 16S ribosomal RNA
Rfam family: Bacterial small subunit ribosomal RNA
Source: RNAcentral